AUUGAACGCUAGCGGCAGGCCUAACACAUGCAAGUCGAGCGGAUGAAGGGAGCUUGCUCCUGGAUUCAGCGGCGGACGGGUGAGUAAUGCCUAGGAAUCUGCCUGGUAGUGGGGGAUAACGUCCGGAAACGGGCGCUAAUACCGCAUACGUCCUGAGGGAGAAAGUGGGGGAUCUUCGGACCUCACGCUAUCAGAUGAGCCUAGGUCGGAUUAGCUAGUUGGUGGGGUAAAGGCCUACCAAGGCGACGAUCCGUAACUGGUCUGAGAGGAUGAUCAGUCACACUGGAACUGAGACACGGUCCAGACUCCUACGGGAGGCAGCAGUGGGGAAUAUUGGACAAUGGGCGAAAGCCUGAUCCAGCCAUGCCGCGUGUGUGAAGAAGGUCUUCGGAUUGUAAAGCACUUUAAGUUGGGAGGAAGGGCAGUAAGUUAAUACCUUGCUGUUUUGACGUUACCAGCAGAAUAAGCACCGGCUAACUUCGUG
This 484-nucleotide ribosomal RNA is filed under the name uncultured bacterium. Its description in RNAcentral is "partial 16S ribosomal RNA". It matches the Rfam family "Bacterial small subunit ribosomal RNA", at positions 30 to 507 of the family's 1533-position model. The record is from RNAcentral.